Molecule: ribosomal RNA, 419 nt
Filed under: uncultured bacterium
Lineage: Bacteria
Description: bacterial SSU rRNA
Rfam family: Bacterial small subunit ribosomal RNA
Source: RNAcentral
AAGGAAUAUUGCUCAAUGGGAGAAAUCCUGAAGCAGCAACGCCGCGUGGAGGAUGAAGGGUCUAUGACUUGUAAACUCCUGUAAAGAAGGGAAAAAUUCCCAUUUGAUGGGAGAUGAUGGUACUUCUGGAGUAAGCCCCGGCUAACUACGUGCCAGCAGCCGCGGUAAUACGUAGGGGGCAAGCGUUGUCCGGAUUUACUGGGUGUAAAGGGUGCUCAGGCGGAUUUGUAAGUCAGAGGUGAAAUCUUACAGCUUAACUGUGAAACUGCCUUUGAUACUGCAAGCCUAGAGUAUGGAAGAGAGUGAUGGAAUAUCUGGUGUAGCAGUGAAAUGCGUAGAUAUCAGAUAGAACACCAAUGGCGAAGGCAGUCACUUGGUCCAUUACUGACGCUAAAGCACGAAAGCGUGGGUAGCAAACA